CAACGCCGCGUGGAGGAUGACGGUCUUCGGAUUGUAAACUCCUGUCAUCCGGGAGUAAGACCUGGCGGUUAACAGCCGACAGGGUUGAUAGUACCGGAAGAGGAAGGGACGGCUAACUUCGUGCCAGCAGCCGCGGUAAUACGAAGGUCCCGAGCGUUGUUCGGAAUCACUGGGCGUAAAGGGAGCGUAGGCGGCGCGGUAAGUCAGAUGUGAAAUCCCGGGGCUCAACCCCGGAACUGCAUCCGAUACUGCCGUGCUAGAGGAUUGGAGAGGUAGCUGGAAUUCUUGGUGUAGCAGUGAAAUGCGUGGAUAUCAAGAGGAACACUCGUGGCGAAAGCGAGCUACUGGACAACUCCUGACGCUGAGGCUCGAAGGCCAGGGGAGCGAAAGGGAUUAGAUACCCCUGUAGUCCUGGCAGUAAACGGUGCACGCUUGGUGUGAGGGGAUUCGACCCCCUCGUGCCGGAGCAAACGCGUUAAGCGUGCCGCCUGGGAAGUACGGUCGCAAGACUA
Molecule: ribosomal RNA, 512 nt
Filed under: uncultured Verrucomicrobiota bacterium
Lineage: Bacteria; Pseudomonadati; Verrucomicrobiota
Description: bacterial SSU rRNA
Rfam family: Bacterial small subunit ribosomal RNA
Source: RNAcentral